Molecule: non-coding RNA, 231 nt
Filed under: Rhizobium sp.
Lineage: Bacteria; Pseudomonadati; Pseudomonadota; Alphaproteobacteria; Hyphomicrobiales; Rhizobiaceae
Also listed under: 1 other name
Source: RNAcentral
CCUAAGCAUUGGGUCGACGGUUCCCCAAUUGGAUGACUCCAAGGGGAUUAAUAGGGAACACGGUGCGGAAGACCCAAUUGGGACCAAGACCGUGGCUGCCCCCGCAACUGUAAGCGGAUUGCCGUCCAUCGUGGUGCGAAAGCACCAGGCCACUGCGAGUUCAAUCGUGGGAAGGCAGAUGGACAGCAGAUAUCCGCGAGCCAGGAGACCUGCCGUCACAGAAGAGAAACC